Long non-coding RNA from Zingiber officinale, 508 nucleotides. RefSeq lists it as uncharacterized. The transcript has 2 exons. The record is from RefSeq and is a predicted model, not a curated record. Lineage: Eukaryota; Viridiplantae; Streptophyta; Magnoliopsida; Zingiberales; Zingiberaceae.
CUAGGUUUCUUUUCUCCCGAGCCGACACCCUCUCGACGCCGCGCGAUCCUUCUCCUCUCUCGGGCAGAAACACAGCGAAUUUAGGGCACGCCUCCGGCACCGGCGAAGCUUUCUUCCGGCCAGCCUUCAUCCGUGGGUGGCCAUCCCGACGAAGGGAGCUCGGAAGCAUAAAGGAGCCGCCGAGUUCGAGCUCCAUCCGGAACCCUAGCCGCCUCUUUCCCUUGGUUGUAAGUCCAAGAACCCUCAAUAAAGGAAAAAAAAAACUAAGAUAUGAAAGAGAGGCGACAGGAUGGUGGUGGUGAUGAAGGUGUGUGAUGUCUGGACUAUGGAGAGAUCCAGGAUUAGCUGACAAACCUGUUAAGACCUUCUAUUUAAUUCUUUUAGAUUGCCUUAAGUGUUAUUUUGAGUUGAGACUGUAUUUAAGUUAUUCCGCACUUGUAAGUAGUUCACUUGUAUUAUUGGUGGAGUGAUGUAGUUGGUUGCUUGCUAGAGUAGUUUCUUUCUUUUA